AUACGAACUGUGCAAACGUUAUUCGGAAUCACUGGGCUUAAAGGGUGCGUAGGCGGGUUUGAAGGUCUGAUGUGAAAGCCCACGGCUCAACCGUGGAAUUGCGUUGGAAACCACAAGCCUUGAGGGAGUCAGAGGUGAGCGGAACUAAUGGUGGAGCGGUGGAAUGCGUUGAUAUCAUUAGGAACACCGGUGGCGAAAGCGGCUCACUGGGACUCUUCUGACGCUGAGGCACGAAAGCUAGGGGAGCGAACGGGAUUAGAUACCCUAGUAGUCC
RNAcentral lists this ribosomal RNA (274 nucleotides) under uncultured bacterium. Its description in RNAcentral is "partial 16S ribosomal RNA". It matches the Rfam family "Bacterial small subunit ribosomal RNA", at positions 523 to 796 of the family's 1533-position model. The record is from RNAcentral.